Molecule: antisense RNA, 75 nt
Filed under: Streptomyces caeruleatus
Lineage: Bacteria; Bacillati; Actinomycetota; Actinomycetes; Kitasatosporales; Streptomycetaceae
Description: Streptomyces sp. GIMN4.002 ASpks TB sRNA
Rfam family: ASpks TB sRNA
Source: Rfam by way of RNAcentral
CUUCAGGCUCCCCAGCCGGACGGGGCGCUGCGCGGUGUGCGCCUGGCCGUAGGUCGCCAGCAGCGCCCGCGCCUC